CCCCUCUCGUUCCUAUUGGAGGAGUCCAGCUCGAGGCCUCGCCCCCAGAGCGCGCGGGCGCCAUUUUGACUUCUCUGCCCGGAGGGACGUAGCGGCUUCCGGGCUUGCUUGGAGUGGGCGGUACGCUAGCCAGAGGGAUUCCUAACCCAGCUGUUCGGUCUGUGAGUGCCACCCGGAGCGUUUGGGGAAGCAUCCAUUCUUUGGUGGCCAAAGUGUUGGAGUUUCAGCUUCAACAUCAGUCCUUCCAAUGAACGUGCAUAGCGGUUAUCAAGACUGGAACUUCUUUUUUUUUAAAAUAAGGAUGAGCUGCAUUGACACAUGAUGACCAAGGUCCCAGUUCAUCCUCUGUGUUCACUGAUGAAGGUCAAAGCCUCUUUAAGAUCACUCAUGGCCGACCCAUGCAUGGACCAGAUCAGCUCUAGGUGGCAAGCUCCCUGACUAAGUACCACAGCUCUUCUUCCAAUAUUGAGCCCUGUCCCACUGGUCCUGCCCAGUAGCCACAUGGAGGUGAACAAGAACACAGUUUGGAUAUUUAUUCAUUGAAACACCAGAAGUUUUGUGCCUCUUGUCACAGUGAACCCAGAUUCCUGUCUGGUGGGUUGUAAACAGAUGAGUCAUUUAUUUAGACCCUCUCGCUCUAUGCUCAACCCAAUCCAUGACAAAUUCUUACCAAGUGACCUCUCAAACCCAGGAAACUAUCACUCUGGAAAUUAAAACUAUUAUAGACCUUCAAACUAUAACCUAGUUCCAGCAGGAAAAAUAAGCCCUUGUUGGUGCACAGCUCUCUCUGCACAAGUGCCACCUUUUGGUCUUUUAAAUGUUUGCCCCUUGGACUGAAGGAUGGAGUGGGGAGUGUUUUGUUUACCAGUUGUUCAUUAUAUAUGUUAAGCAGA
Molecule: long non-coding RNA, 893 nt
Organism: Odocoileus virginianus texanus
Lineage: Eukaryota; Metazoa; Chordata; Mammalia; Artiodactyla; Cervidae
Source: RefSeq, a predicted model, not a curated record